Molecule: ribosomal RNA, 415 nt
Filed under: uncultured bacterium
Lineage: Bacteria
Description: bacterial SSU rRNA
Rfam family: Bacterial small subunit ribosomal RNA
Source: RNAcentral
AACGCGAAGAACCUUACCUGCCCUUGACAUGCCAGGAAGCCGGAUGAGAGUUCGGUGUGCCCGAAAGGGAGCCUGGACACAGGUGCUGCAUGGCUGUCGUCAGCUCGUGUCGUGAGAUGUUGGGUUAAGUCCCGCAACGAGCGCAACCCUUGUCACUAGUUGCUACGGAAACGGGCACUCUAGUGAGACUGCCGGUGACAAACCGGAGGAAGGUGGGGAUGACGUCAAGUCCUCAUGGCCCUUAUGGGUAGGGCUUCACACGUCAUACAAUGGCGCAUACAGAGGGCUGCCAACCCGCGAGGGGGAGCCAAUCCCAGAAAGUGCGUCAUAGUCCGGAUUGCAGUCUGCAACUCGACUGCAUGAAGUCGGAAUCGCUAGUAAUCGCGGAUCAGCAAUGUCGCGGUGAAUACGUUCC